This 604-nucleotide unclassified non-coding RNA is filed under the name Hevea brasiliensis (rubber tree). Lineage: Eukaryota; Viridiplantae; Streptophyta; Magnoliopsida; Malpighiales; Euphorbiaceae. The record is from RNAcentral.
AGGGAACAAGACAAAUUAUUCAGAGACAAAGAAAGAACUUGUGACAACGAGGAAAGUCCAAUAACUUGUGGGGGUAUGGGACCACUAAGAUUGUUUGUAGAUAAAUCUAGUCCGAGCAAUUUUUGGCAACUGCCUAGACUUGAAGGGAUGGUACCUUGAAUAUUAUUGUUAUAUAAAAGAAGUUCAAGUAAAUUUGUCAGGUUUCCCAGAGAUGAUGGAAUAUAUCCCGAUAAAUUAUUUAUUGCAAGGUAAAGUAAUUUUACAUUUUGAAGCUGUCCGAUGCCCGAUGGAAUGGUACCUGAAAGUUUGUUCCUGUCUGCAGCGAAAACUUCCAAGUUAACAAGGAACUUUAUUCCAAUUGGGAUGUUUCCAGAUAUCUGAUUGUUCUGUAUGACAAAGAACCGGAGCACCUUUGAGAAGUUGGCGAUGUGUUCAGGAAGUUCGCCUCCAAAGUUGUUGUAGCCUAUGCCGAUGUUUCGUAAAGCUGUGGCGUUAGUUAAGGUGGAAAGAAAUCUCAAGUCAUCAGCUUUCCCACUUCCUAAAUUGUUGACGCCAAUCUGUAAUGCUAAAAGCCUAUGCAACUUGCCAAGAGAAGGCACACUUC